This 674-nucleotide long non-coding RNA is filed under the name Heterocephalus glaber (naked mole-rat). RNAcentral describes it as "lncRNA (ENSHGLG00000025751.2)". Lineage: Eukaryota; Metazoa; Chordata; Mammalia; Rodentia; Bathyergidae. The record is from RNAcentral.
GUGUUCUGUUUCCAUUGAAUAGCAAUGCUCAGGCUCUCAAACCCUUCCUCUGCUCCCCUGCGGUGUGGGGGAAGGGCUGUGGCUUGUGCAAUGUCCUGGUGUUGGGGAGGAGUGGUGUCUUCAGGCACAGCUUCCUGCCUCCUGCACUCUUGUGCCUUUUCUGGCGUGGUGUGCUUGCCCUGAUCUGUGAUUCCAGUGCUGCCCUUGGUGAUUCACGGAGAAGGUUAUUUUACCCUGGGGACAGAGUGCCACACAAAGACUUUCCUGCUGCUGAAUGUGUGAACAAACACCAUCUCAGAGAAUCAAUAGAAGAAAUCUAAGAAGAAAUGCCUUGAUUGGCAAAGACUUCUGGUGGCCUAAAGAACAUGGGUGUGUUAUUCUGGUGACCCAAAGGUCUUCUAAUUUUGAAUGGAGCUCAGCACAAGAGAAAGCUCUUCAACAGUUCUGAAUUGCAGUGCAAACAGCUCUGUUAUCUGGGCCAUGUCAUCCAGCAGAUGUGAUGGUGUUUCAAGUGUCAGUGGCAGAUGAUGAUGCAGUUUGAAGCCUUUGGAAGGUUUGAAUACAGAAUCAUAAAAUGAAUGAAGCACCUGAUGGUCAAGGAAGAGAAAAGAAGAUGAAAGGAUGAAUGCGUAUUUGUUUCAUAAUCACUAACAGGUGUUAAUAAAACGUAUUGU